CAACCCUCGGUACCAACCGGUUUUGAGCGAGCGCGGGUCCUGACCCGGGCUGGCUUUAAAGUUGUAAGCUCUGCUGGCUGCUCAGCCCAACCAGAACAUAGUAAAACCUACUUGUUCAGCGGUCAGGUUGAAGCGGUACGGCCUGAACAAAACCUACCCAACUCUAAG
RNAcentral lists this unclassified non-coding RNA (168 nucleotides) under Dactylella formosana. Its description in RNAcentral is "sequence contains ITS2". Lineage: Eukaryota; Fungi; Ascomycota; Orbiliomycetes; Orbiliales; Orbiliaceae. The record is from RNAcentral.